RNAcentral lists this ribosomal RNA (468 nucleotides) under uncultured bacterium. RNAcentral describes it as "partial 16S ribosomal RNA". It matches the Rfam family "Bacterial small subunit ribosomal RNA", at positions 28 to 507 of the family's 1533-position model. The record is from RNAcentral.
GACGAACGCUGGCGGCGUGCUUAACACAUGCAAGUCGAACGGAAAGGCCCUGCUUUUGUGGGGUGCUCGAGUGGCGAACGGGUGAGUAACACGUGAGUAACCUGCCCUUGACUUUGGGAUAACUUCAGGAAACUGGGGCUAAUACCGGAUAGGAGCUCCUGCUGCAUGGUGGGGGUUGGAAAGUUUCGGCGGUUGGGGAUGGACUCGCGGCUUAUCAGCUUGUUGGUGGGGUAGUGGCUUACCAAGGCUUUGACGGGUAGCCGGCCUGGGAGGGUGACCGGCCACAUUGGGACGGAGAUACGGCCAAGACUCCUACGGGAGGCAGCAGUGGGGAAUAUUGCACAAGGGGCGGAAGCCUGAUGCAGCAACGCCGCGUGCGGGAUGACGGCCUUCGGGUUGUAACCCGCUUUCGCCUGUGACGAAGCGUGAGUGACGGUAAUGGGUAAAGAAGCACCGGCUAACUACGUG